RNAcentral lists this long non-coding RNA (251 nucleotides) under Mytilus galloprovincialis (Mediterranean mussel). The record is from RNAcentral. Lineage: Eukaryota; Metazoa; Mollusca; Bivalvia; Mytilida; Mytilidae.
GGAGCUACCAUUUGAUUUUAAGGGGGGGGCUAGGAUGAAAUUUGAAAAAAAUAGGCAGGACAGGAGUUUUGAGUAAAAAAAAGGCAGGAUGAGACAAUUGCCAAAAAAAAAGUCAGGACGACAAUUUAGGUAAAAAAAAGUCGGGAUAAACUAAAAAAAAAAAACAGGACCAAACAGAGUGAAAAAUAAAAAGGCAGGACAGAGAUUACAGCUAAAAAAAAGGCAGGACAAAAUUUUUCAUCCUAGCCCCA